AACGCACCUUGCGCUCCUUGGUAUUCCGAGGAGCAUGCCUGUUUGAGUGUCAUGGUAUUCUCAACUCUACAAAGCUUUUGCGAUGAAGAGUUGGAUUUGGAGGCUUGUGUUGGCUUGAAAGAGUUGACUCCUCUGAAAUGCAUUAGUGUGAACCUUUACGGAUCGCCUCCAGUGUGAUAAUGUCUACGCUGUGGUGUUGAAGUAUUUCUAGUGUUCAUGCUUCUAAUCGUCCUCUUAGGACAAUCAUUUGACAAUCUGACCUCAAAUCAGGUAGGACUACCCGCUGAACUUAA
Molecule: unclassified non-coding RNA, 293 nt
Filed under: uncultured fungus
Lineage: Eukaryota; Fungi
Description: sequence contains ITS2
Rfam family: 5.8S ribosomal RNA (bases 1-52)
Source: RNAcentral